This 236-nucleotide ribosomal RNA is filed under the name uncultured bacterium. RNAcentral describes it as "partial 16S ribosomal RNA". It matches the Rfam family "Bacterial small subunit ribosomal RNA", at positions 100 to 334 of the family's 1533-position model. The record is from RNAcentral.
CGGGACGGGUGAGUAACGCGUGGGUAACCUGCCCCAUACAGGGGGAUAACGAUUGGAAACGAUUGCUAAUACCGCAUAAGCGCACAGUACCACAUGGUGCAGUGUGAAAAACUCCGGUGGUAUGAGAUGGACCCGCGUCUGAUUAGCUAGUUGGUGAGGUAACGGCCCACCAAGGCAACGAUCAGUAGCCGACCUGAGGGGGUGACCGGCCACAUUGGGACUGAGACACGGCCCAG